RNAcentral lists this ribosomal RNA (254 nucleotides) under uncultured bacterium. RNAcentral describes it as "partial 16S ribosomal RNA". It matches the Rfam family "Bacterial small subunit ribosomal RNA", at positions 524 to 776 of the family's 1533-position model. The record is from RNAcentral.
UACGUAGGGGGCUAGCGUUGUCCGGAUUUAUUGGGCGUAAAGAGCUCGUAGGCGGUUCGGUAAGUCGGGUGUGAAAUCUCCACGCUCAACGUGGAGGGGCCACCCGAUACUGCCAUGACUCGAGUCCGGUAGGGGAGUGUGGAAUUCCUGGUGUAGCGGUGGAAUGCGCAGAUAUCAGGAGGAACACCGGUGGCGAAGGCGGGUCUCUGGGCAGUAACUGACGCUGAGGCGCGAAAGCUAGGGGAGCAAACGGG